UACGUAGGGUGCGAGCGUUGUCCGGAAUUACUGGGCGUAAAGAGCUCGUAGGUGGUUUGUCGCGUUGUCCGUGAAAACUCACAACUCAAUUGUGGGCGUGCGGGCGAUACGGGCAGACUGGAGUACUGCAGGGGAGACUGGAAUUCCUGGUGUAGCGGUGGAAUGCGCAGAUAUCAGGAGGAACACCGGUGGCGAAGGCGGGUCUCUGGACAGUUCCUGACGCUGAGGCACGAAGGUCAGGGGAGCAAACGGG
This 253-nucleotide ribosomal RNA is filed under the name uncultured prokaryote. Its description in RNAcentral is "partial 16S ribosomal RNA". It matches the Rfam family "Bacterial small subunit ribosomal RNA", at positions 524 to 776 of the family's 1533-position model. The record is from RNAcentral.